GACGAACGCUGGCGGCGUGCCUAACACAUGCAAGUCGAACGAGGUCCAAGGGAGCUUGCUCCCUGAAGACCUAGUGGCGAACGGGUGAGUAACACGUGAGAAACCUGCCUCGGAGUGGGAAGUAACUCGGGGAAACGUACGAGCUAAUACCGCAUACCUUCACACGAUCGCAUGGUCGAGUGAAGAAAGAAUUUCGCUCUGAGAGGGUCUCGCGGCCUAUCAGCUUGUUGGUGGGGUAACGGCCCACCAAGGCAACGACGGGUAGCUGGUUUGAGAGAACGAUCAGCCACACUGGGACUGAGACACGGCCCAGGCUCCUACGGGAGGCAGCAGUGGGGAAUCUUGCGCAAUGGGCGAAAGCCUGACGCAGCAACGCCGCGUGCGGGAUGACGGCC
Molecule: ribosomal RNA, 395 nt
Filed under: uncultured bacterium
Lineage: Bacteria
Description: bacterial SSU rRNA
Rfam family: Bacterial small subunit ribosomal RNA
Source: RNAcentral